AUUGAACGCUGGCGGCAUGCUUUACACAUGCAAGUCGAACGGCAGCGCGGGCUUCGGCCUGGCGGCGAGUGGCGCACGGGUGAGUAAUGCAUCGGAACGUGCCCCGCUGUGGGGGAUAGUCCGGCGAAAGCCGGAUUAAUACCGCCUACGACCUGCGGGUGAAACCGGGGGACCGAAAGGCCUCGCGCGCUUGUAGCGGCCGAUGUCGGACUGGUUGGUUGGUGGGGUAAAGGCUUACCAAGUCGGCGAUUCGUAGCUGGUCUGAGAGGACGGCCAGCCACACUGGAACGUAGACACGGACCAGAGUACUACGGGAGGCAGCAGUGGGGAAUGUUGGACAAUGGGGGCAACCCUGAUCCAGCCAUGCCGCGUGCGAGAAGAAGGCCUUCGGGUUGUAAACCGCUUUUGUUCGGGAAGAAAUCCUCUGGGCUAAUACCCCGGGGGGAUGACGGUACCGGAAGAAUAAGCACCGGCUAACUACGUG
RNAcentral lists this ribosomal RNA (484 nucleotides) under uncultured bacterium. RNAcentral's name for it is "partial 16S ribosomal RNA". It matches the Rfam family "Bacterial small subunit ribosomal RNA", at positions 28 to 507 of the family's 1533-position model. The record is from RNAcentral.